GAGUUUGAUCGUGGCUCAGAUUGAACGCUGGCGGCAGGCCUAACACAUGCAAGUCGAGCGGUAGAGAGAAGCUUGCUUCUCUUGAGAGCGGCGGACGGGUGAGUAAUGCCUAGGAAUCUGCCUGGUAGUGGGGGAUAACGCUCGGAAACGGACGCUAAUACCGCAUACGUCCUACGGGAGAAAGCAGGGGACCUUCGGGCCUUGCGCUAUCAGAUGAGCCUAGGUCGGAUUAGCUAGUUGGUGAGGUAAUGGCUCACCAAGGCGACGAUCCGUAACUGGUCUGAGAGGAUGAUCAGUCACACUGGAACUGAGACACGGUCCAGACUCCUACGGGAGGCAGCAGUGGGGAAUAUUGGACAAUGGGCGAAAGCCUGAUCCAGCCAUGCCGCGUGUGUGAAGAAGGUCUUCGGAUUGUAAAGCACUUUAAGUUGGAGGAAGGGCAGUAAAUUAAUACUUUGCUGUUUUGACGUUACCGACAGAAUAAGCACCGGCUAACUCUGUGCCAGCA
Molecule: ribosomal RNA, 508 nt
Filed under: uncultured bacterium
Lineage: Bacteria
Description: bacterial SSU rRNA
Rfam family: Bacterial small subunit ribosomal RNA
Source: RNAcentral